Molecule: transfer RNA, 65 nt
Filed under: Dipodomys ordii (Ord's kangaroo rat)
Lineage: Eukaryota; Metazoa; Chordata; Mammalia; Rodentia; Heteromyidae
Rfam family: tRNA
About the family: Transfer RNA (tRNA) molecules are approximately 80 nucleotides in length. Their secondary structure includes four short double-helical elements and three loops (D, anti-codon, and T loops). Further hydrogen bonds mediate the characteristic L-shaped molecular structure. tRNAs have two regions of fundamental functional importance: the anti-codon, which is responsible for specific mRNA codon recognition, and the 3' end, to which the tRNAs corresponding amino acid is attached (by aminoacyl-tRNA synthetases). tRNAs cope with the degeneracy of the genetic code in two manners: having more than one tRNA (with a specific anti-codon) for a particular amino acid; and 'wobble' base-pairing, i.e. permitting non-standard base-pairing at the 3rd anti-codon position.
Source: Rfam by way of RNAcentral
GGUGGCUCAGUGGUAGAGCUCUUGUCUUGCGUGCAUGAGGCCCUGGGUUCGAUUCCUCAGCACCA